GUACACUCCUGCGGGAGGCAGCAGUGGGGAAUAUUGCACAAUGGGCGCAAGCCUGAUGCAGCCAUGCCGCGUGUAUGAAGAAGGCCUUCGGGUUGUAAAGUACUUUCAGCGGGGAGGAAGGCGAUAAGGUUAAUAACCUUGUUGAUUGACGUUACCCGCAGAAGAAGCACCGGCUAACUCCGUGCCAGCAGCCGCGGUAAUACGGAGGGUGCAAGCGUUAAUCGGAAUUACUGGGCGUAAAGCGCACGCAGGCGGUCUGUCAAGUCGGAUGUGAAAUCCCCGGGCUCAACCUGGGAACUGCAUUCGAAACUGGCAGGCUAGAGUCUUGUAGAGGGGGGUAGAAUUCCAGGUGUAGCGGUGAAAUGCGUAGAGAUCUGGAGGAAUACCGGUGGCGAAGGCGGCCCCCUGGACAAAGACUGACGCUCAGGUGCGAAAGCGUGGGGAGCAAACAGGAUUAGAUACCCCUGUAGUCCCAUGA
This 478-nucleotide ribosomal RNA is filed under the name uncultured organism. RNAcentral describes it as "partial 16S ribosomal RNA". It matches the Rfam family "Bacterial small subunit ribosomal RNA", at positions 331 to 800 of the family's 1533-position model. The record is from RNAcentral.